CCUACGGGUGGCAGCAGUGGGGGAUAUUGCACAAUGGGGGAAACCCUGAUGCAGCGACGCCGCGUGGGUGAAGAAGUAUUUCGGUAUGUAAAGCCCUAUCAGCAGGGAAGAAAGAAGACGGUACCUGACUAAGAAGCCCCGGCUAACUACGUGCCAGCAGCCGCGGUAAUACGUAGGGGGCGAGCGUUAUCCGGAUUCACUGGGUGUAAAGGGAGCGUAGACGGCCAUGCAAGCCAGGAGUGAAAGCCCGGGGCCCAACCCCGGGACUGCUCGUGGAACUGUGCGGCUGGAGUGCGGGAGGGGCAGGCGGAAUUCCUGGUGUAGCGGGGAAAUGCGUAGAUAUCAGGAGGAACACCGGCGGCGAAGGCGGCCUGCUGGACCGCGACUGACGUUGAGGCUCGAAAGCGUGGGGAGCGAACAGGAUUAGAUACCCCAGUAGUC
RNAcentral lists this ribosomal RNA (441 nucleotides) under uncultured bacterium. RNAcentral describes it as "partial 16S ribosomal RNA". It matches the Rfam family "Bacterial small subunit ribosomal RNA", at positions 338 to 795 of the family's 1533-position model. The record is from RNAcentral.